CUCCUACGGGCGGCAGCAGUCGGGAAUUUUGGGCAAUGGGCGAAAGCCUGACCCAGCAACGCCGCGUGAAGGAUGAAGUUUUUCGGAAUGUAAACUUCGUAAGAAUAGGAAGAAUAAAUGACGGUACUAUUUGUAAGGUCCGGCUAACUACGUGCCAGCAGCCGCGGUAAUACGUAGGGACCAAGCGUUGUUCGGAUUUACUGGGCGUAAAGGGCGCGUAGGCGGCAAUUCAAGUCAGCUGUGAAAUCUCCGGGCUUAACUCGGAACGGUCAGCUGAUACUGAUGUGCUAGAGUGCAGAAGGGGCAACCGGAAUUCUUGGUGUAGCGGUGAAAUGCGUAGAUAUCAAGAGGAACACCUGAGGCGAAGGCGGGUUGCUGGGCUGACACUGACGCUGAGGCGCGAAAGCCAGGGGAGCAAACGGGAUUAGAUACCCCGGUAGUC
This 442-nucleotide ribosomal RNA is filed under the name uncultured bacterium. RNAcentral describes it as "bacterial SSU rRNA". It matches the Rfam family "Bacterial small subunit ribosomal RNA", at positions 336 to 795 of the family's 1533-position model. The record is from RNAcentral.